GACGAACGCUGGCGGCGUGCUUAACACAUGCCAGUCGAACGGAAAGGCCCUGCUUUUGUGGGGUGCUCGAGUGGCGAUCGGGUGAGUAACACGUGUGUAACCUGCCCUUGACUUUGGGAUAACUUAAGGAAACUGGGCCUACUACCGGAUAGGAGCUCCCGCUGCAUGGUGGGGGUUGGAAAGUUUCGGCGGUUGGGGAUGGACUCGCGGGUUAUCAGCUUGUUGGUGGGGUAGUGGCUUACCCAGGCUUUGACGGGUCGCGGGCCUGAGAGGGUGACCGGCCACAUUGGGACUGAGAUGAGGCCCAGACUCGUACGGGAGGCAGCAGUGGGGAAUAUUGCACAAUGGGCGGAAGCGUGAUGCAGCAACGCCGCGUGCGGGAUGACGGCCUUCGGGUUGUAAACCGCUUUCGCCUGUGACGAAGCGUGAGUGACGGUAAUGGAUAAAGAAGCACCGGCUAACUACGUG
Molecule: ribosomal RNA, 468 nt
Filed under: uncultured bacterium
Lineage: Bacteria
Description: partial 16S ribosomal RNA
Rfam family: Bacterial small subunit ribosomal RNA
Source: RNAcentral